AGCCGGCUGACGAGUCCCAAAUAGGAUGAAACGCGCAACCUGGAU
Molecule: non-coding RNA, 45 nt
Organism: Schistosoma curassoni
Lineage: Eukaryota; Metazoa; Platyhelminthes; Trematoda; Strigeidida; Schistosomatidae
Source: Rfam